CUUCACUCGCGUGACUGGCGCAUAUAGAUAGAACACUAUCGGGGAGCGUGAGUUUGCUGCCGCCGCGCGCCUGGGCAUUACCU
Molecule: non-coding RNA, 83 nt
Filed under: Cupriavidus sp. USMAA2-4
Lineage: Bacteria; Pseudomonadati; Pseudomonadota; Betaproteobacteria; Burkholderiales; Burkholderiaceae
Also listed under: 1 other name
Description: ZMP/ZTP riboswitch aptamer (pfl RNA motif)
Rfam family: ZMP/ZTP riboswitch aptamer (pfl RNA motif)
About the family: Previously known as pfl RNA.
Source: Rfam by way of RNAcentral